This 492-nucleotide ribosomal RNA is filed under the name uncultured Bifidobacterium sp. Its description in RNAcentral is "bacterial SSU rRNA". It matches the Rfam family "Bacterial small subunit ribosomal RNA", at positions 169 to 673 of the family's 1533-position model. The record is from RNAcentral. Lineage: Bacteria; Bacillati; Actinomycetota; Actinomycetes; Bifidobacteriales; Bifidobacteriaceae.
CCGGAUGCUCCAAUGCGAUGCAUGUCGCGUUGGGAAAGAUUUCAUCGGUAUGGGAUGGGGUCGCGUCCUAUCAGGUAGUCGGCGGGGUAACGGCCCACCGAGCCUACGACGGGUAGCCGGCCUGAGAGGGCGACCGGCCACAUUGGGACUGAGAUACGGCCCAGACUCCUACGGGAGGCAGCAGUGGGGAAUAUUGCACAAUGGGCGCAAGCCUGAUGCAGCGACGCCGCGUGCGGGAUGGAGGCCUUCGGGUUGUAAACCGCUUUUGUCGGGGAGCAAGCCUUCGGGUGAGUGUACCCUUCGAAUAAGCACCGGCUAACUACGUGCCAGCAGCCGCGGUAAUACGUAGGGUGCAAGCGUUAUCCGGAAUUAUUGGGCGUAAAGAGCUCGUAGGCGGUUCGUCGCGUCCGGUGUGAAAGUCCAUCGCUUAACGGUGGAUCUGCGCCGGGUACGGGCGGGCUGGAGUGCGGUAGGGGAGACUGGAAUUCCCGG